ACUUUGAUGUGCUCAAUACAUUGGAUAAUCAAUCAGAUAACCCAACUGGAAUGAAACAGCAAUAGAGGGAGAUUUUGGUCACUUCAUGACUGCCAUCUUGGAGACUAAGGCUUUUAAAGCCACUCCAUUGGCUCUCAGGCUGGUGGAAGUUUAAUAUUGGCUGGCUCUACAUGGCACACCAGGAAGAAAAAUGUCUGCUGUCAGUGAAUUAAUUACCCUGUUUGGCACCUAUCAACCUCUCAUUUUUUAAGUCAUCCACAGAAACCUCCUAUGGGUUUCUGCACUCUGCUGUCAAGAAUGGUACCUCUACCUCCAUUUUGUUCUACGAUUCAAUAUAUUCCUGCCAGGGAUGCAACAUUCUUCUUCUACAGACACUCAUGGUUGGAAAUCUUUGCAAACAACAAAUGGAAAAGGUAU
This is a long non-coding RNA of Gavialis gangeticus (Gharial), 417 nucleotides long. RefSeq lists it as uncharacterized. NCBI's taxonomy places the organism in Eukaryota, Metazoa, Chordata, Crocodylia, Gavialidae. The record is from RefSeq and is a predicted model, not a curated record. The transcript has 3 exons.